GGGCCUGUAGCUCCAAUUGGCGAGAGCACUUGCCUUGCAAGCAAGCCGUUGUCGGUUCAAAUCCGACCAGGUCCACCA
RNAcentral lists this transfer RNA (78 nucleotides) under bacterium. RNAcentral's name for it is "tRNA-Ala". It matches the Rfam family "tRNA". Rfam says of the family: Transfer RNA (tRNA) molecules are approximately 80 nucleotides in length. Their secondary structure includes four short double-helical elements and three loops (D, anti-codon, and T loops). RNAcentral also lists the same sequence under 1 other name. The record is from RNAcentral.